GGGGGUGUAUUGGUUUCGACUGGCGGGUUUCAGGCCACCAGCUGCAGGUCAAGCGCCAACUUGUUAAACUAGCAAAAUUCACAACUGCCAAGAAAGAAGACGAUUUCGUCCUCGACGAAGCAGAAUUCGCUCUCGCUGCUUAAUCGUAGCCAGAACGGACAAGGUAUGGGGUGCCUCGCCCAUGGUCCUAUACCCUGUAAAUCCUUUGGGCUUGUCUAUGGCUGAUGGAUGUAGGCUGUAGAGACCUCCACACCCUGGGUUCUCUGAAAGACUGACCGACUGCCUAGGAGAAUCAAGACUCAUUCAGCCGGAUCUAAGCCUGUAGACGCUGAUGGAUGGUUCGUUAGGACGGGGGUCCGACUCCCCCCACCUCCA
This 375-nucleotide transfer-messenger RNA is filed under the name bovine gut metagenome. It matches the Rfam family "transfer-messenger RNA". Rfam says of the family: Bacterial tmRNA, also known as 10Sa RNA or SsrA, is named for its dual tRNA and mRNA-like properties. Its role is to liberate the mRNA from a stalled ribosome. The record is from RNAcentral.